RNAcentral lists this long non-coding RNA (235 nucleotides) under Prunus persica (peach). RNAcentral describes it as "long non-coding RNA (PPER_LNC002432)". Lineage: Eukaryota; Viridiplantae; Streptophyta; Magnoliopsida; Rosales; Rosaceae. The record is from RNAcentral.
CAGGAACCAUUUUCCUCUGCACAACCCAAGAAAUUUAAUGGUGCCCAUCUCAAAAUUUUCUUUAAAAAAUCUCCAAUGGUAUUCAUCUCAACAAAAGUGCAAGCUCAAAAGAGUGCCCCUUGAACCGAAACUCACUCUAGUUUCAAUAAGAAUGAAAGACAAAGGGAAUUUUUGGCUAUUGAGAGCUUGUUCAAGCGCCAACAUCUCUCACCACCACCCAAAAAGUCAGGCUGCC